This 325-nucleotide ribosomal RNA is filed under the name uncultured eukaryote. Its description in RNAcentral is "partial 18S ribosomal RNA". It matches the Rfam family "Eukaryotic small subunit ribosomal RNA", at positions 1470 to 1796 of the family's 1831-position model. The record is from RNAcentral.
CCCUUAGAUGUUCUGGGCCGCACGCGCGCUACACUGAUGCAUUCAACGAGCCUAUCCUUGACCGACAGGUCCGGGUAAUCUUUGAAUCUGCAUCGUGACGGGGAUAGAUUAUUGCAAUUAUUAAUCUUCAACGAGGAAUGCCUAGUAGGCGCAAGUCAUCAGCUUGCGUCGAUUACGCCCCUGCCCUUUGUACACACCGCCCGUCGCUCCUACCGAUUGGGUGUGCUGGUGAAAUGUUCGGAUCGGCCGUUUGUCGCGGUUUCCGCGGCUCGUGGCUGAGAAGUUCAUUAAACCCUCCCACCUAGAGGAAGGAGAAGUCGUAACA